GCCUCCUUAGCUCAGAGGAUAGAGCGUCUGCCUCCGGAGCAGAAGGUCGCAGGUUCGAAUCCUGCAGGGGGCGCCA
This 76-nucleotide transfer RNA is filed under the name Coriobacteriaceae bacterium. RNAcentral's name for it is "tRNA-Arg". It matches the Rfam family "tRNA". From Rfam's summary of the family: Transfer RNA (tRNA) molecules are approximately 80 nucleotides in length. Their secondary structure includes four short double-helical elements and three loops (D, anti-codon, and T loops). The record is from RNAcentral. Lineage: Bacteria; Bacillati; Actinomycetota; Coriobacteriia; Coriobacteriales; Coriobacteriaceae.